UUUCAAAAGAAAGGCAGCUGCCUGUCCCGGGACAGGUGAAAAAUGUUGUGUAACUCGUCCUGCAUCGGGCAGCAUCGUUCACACAAGCGCGGAGCUCAGAACCUCCCAGAACCACGGGAGAAUCAAAUUCAUAGCUUGGGACUCGCUGAAUUAAACAGAGAACAUCCACCCCAUUAGUUGGGAUGGAAUAACAAGGAGACAACUUGUGAGUUCUUCACGGAAAUCCAGGCAUAAACUACUUGCGGCCGUGAGUUGAAUGUGACCGUGGCUUGUCCAACCGGUUGCAUUUGGUUUCAGCAGAAAGGCCGCUGUCUGUUCUGAGGAAUGUGCGGGUUGGAAUCCGUCCUGUGGACAGGCAGCUGCUUGCACACAGACUCUGAGUCUCACUGAGAAACAAUUCCACCUCCCAAGUCACUCAAUGAUGCCUUACCUGACUGGGUGAAAUGAAGUAAGAAGGACAUGGCUUUUAUAUCUACGCAGAGACAAAGCAUUCUAGGGGAUUUAAGAUUAUUGGAUGCAGGAGGAGCUCUGCUCCGCCGGGAUAAAAGUGUAAACAAGAAGAAGAAGAUCGCCCAUCGUCCGUCGGAUUCAGAAUGGACACAGAUCUGAACUCUGCAAUCACCGCCUUCUUGUCAAACUGUGAGGAUCACCAGCUAUUCCGGUUGACCAGAUUAUACCGGGAACGACUGGAGCAGGCGAUUGAAGAGGUUGUGGAGGGACUCGGCUCAUGUUAACAGGGGCGGAUCACUUCACUGGGUUGGAGUAUCACAGUGUGACUGAGCAAUGACUGGGAAACCGAGGGAGCUCUUCCAAACUCCUCCUGGAUCUGGUGAUGGAGAAGGGCUCCGGGGCCCGAAGGGUGAUGUGGGAAUCCUUUGUGAAAAUACGUCACACGUUACCGAAGCUGAGCAGAAUAUUGGAAGAAAUAAGGGACUGUGGUGAUGGUCAGUUCGCCUACAUGGACAUAGAGCGGGGUUUAUCUGAAGCGCCUACUCUCCUGAAAGAAGUUCAGCGGAAACACAAGGAGACUCUGAGGGCACAAACCGAAACACUGAGAGUGAACACGAUCCUGAUGAGGGAGAAGGUGAAGGUUUUCCAUCUGGUUGAUCGAUACGCUGAGCUCACGGUCAUUUCUACCGUUCGAGAGAGGAGACUUGUCUCACAAGAGCUGUUGGCAAGAGGCCGGGACCACGAGGAGUGGAGAGAGAAACAUCUCCGGGAAGAGCUGUAGAACAUCCGGAUUGAUCAAAUUUUCAAGAGAAGUUUUCUGAAGAUAUUGACGGAAUCUUUCUUUGGGAAGAAAUCAGGGAGUUCGGCAGCAGUGGCCGGAGUCCCGGGGAUCGGGAAACAACAAUGGUGCAAAAGAUUGUUUAUGACUCGGCCACGGGGAAGAUAUACCAACACUUCCAAUUUGUCUUCAGUUUCAAAUUCCGGGAUUUAAACUCUAUGAACUGUAGAAUAAUUCUGAGGGAAUUAAUUCUAGAUUAGUUUCCUUACUUUUGUAACAUCCUGGCAGAGGUCUGGAAGAAUCCUGAGGGAUUGCAUUUCUAUUCGAUGGUUUAGAUGAAUUCAAGCACAAAAUUGAUUUUGCUGACAGUCGGAGAGACACAGAACCGCAGCACAUGUGCCCAGAUCCCGAGUGGUGGUGUGAAGUGUCUGACAUUGUGUACAGUUUAAUCCAGCACAAGCUGCUCCCAGGGUGUUCAAUGCUGGUGACCACCCGUCCAACUGCGUUACAUUUAUUGGAAAAGGCGGAGAUCAGUGUCUGGGCUAAAAUACCUGGGAUUUGUUGGUGAGGAACGGAAGGAAUAUUUCCACAGGUUUUUUGAAGAUCAGACUGUGGCAGCAGCUGUUUUCAAACACGUGGAGGAGAACGAGAACUUGUACGCUAUGAGCUAAACCCCUCCUACUGAUGGAUCCUCGGUCUGGCACUGGGACCCUUCUUCACACAAAGACACAGGGACCUGCAGCGAGUUCCCAAGACCAUCACCCAACUAUAUUCCUAAAAACCACCGUCGUGAGAUUGAAAGCUCCCGUGAUGUGUUACUGAGGGUUGGUCAAAUGGCCUUCACAGGACUGGCCGAGAAGAAGAUUGUAUUUACAGAUGGAGAUUUGAUGAAGUACAAUCUGCAGCUUUCCCAGUUCCUGUCCGGGUUCCUAAUGGAACUUUUGGAGAGAGGGGAUUGUGCCCGGAGCGUGGUGUACAUAUACCCACACCUCACCAUCCAAGAGUUUGUAGCUGCACUCUCACAAUUUCUUACUCCGCACCCCGAGGAUAUCGUAAAACUCCUUACCGAAGCCCACAGCACGACAGACGGGCAAUUUGAGGUAUUUCUCCGCUUUGUUGUUGGUCUAUCCUCCCCAGGGUCAGCUCGGGGUCUGGAGGAGUUUCUGGGUCCAUUUCCUCAUCAAACAAUCGGCCGAGUGAUUGACUGGGUGAAGGAGGAGGUGAAACGUCAGGUUGGAAACACAAGGAAUGAAGCUGGUAAAAGGAGCUUCCUGAACACACUGCACUGUUUGAGUCUCAGAACCGUGGACUGGCUCAGGCCGCACUGGGAUCUGUGGAAACACUUUCAUUCAGUGGAUUGCGACUGACCCCGAUUGAUUGCGCCGUUCUGUCUCAUGUCAUUGGGCUCUGUGAUACAAUAAAACAGCUCAAUCUGUGGAGCUGCCACAUUCAGUGUGAAGGGCUCCAGCGGCUGGUACCCGGGCUGCACAAGUGCCUGGUGUUGGGACUGGGUAACAAUGACCUGGGAGAUUCGGGAGUGAAACUGGUGUCUGCGGCUCUGAGGGACCCGGAGUGUAAAAUCCAGAGACUGCGGUAAAUCCAGAAUGUGAGAGAUUGUGUUUACAGUCACUGGGUGUCUGACAUUGAACAUUAAUGUGGCUGGGGGAUGUCGGUCUCACAGAUUCUGGUGCCGAGAAUCUCGCCUCCGUUCUCAGUGCAAACAGCUGACUGACGGAUCUGGGCCUGAGUUACAGCAGCCUGGGAGAUUCGGGAGUGAAACUGGUGUCUGAGGCUCUGAGGAACCCAGAGUGUAAAAUAAAGAGACUGGGGCUUUGGGUGAACCUUCUCACAGAUUCAGGUGCCGAGUUUCUCGCCUCCGCGCUCAGUAUAAACCGCUCACUGACUGGGCUGGAGCUAGGAUUAAAUUCCCUCGCAGACCGAUCUGUACCCGCACUCCGCCGCCUCAUACUGACCCACCCGAGUCUGGAUCGGAUCAGGCUAUGGGGGAAUCAGUUCAGUUCAGAUGGACUGAAUCAGCUGAAGUCGCUGCAGGGAACCAGACCCGGACUGAGGGUGGACCUGUGAACGUCCCAAUGUACAGACAUCCACGUCCGCCGGAUGGGAAUAUUUUUUUCCCGGUUUCCCUCCAUUUCCUUUAACCGCGCGCUCCAAAUUGAAAUCCCAACGAUCGUAAUGUCCCAGCCGGAGGGCAACCUGACGCCAGGGGUAGACAUGCUUCCACGGAUAUCCGGCGAUUGGGGGAUUACACAGAGUGGUAUGUCCCAGGACAGUCUGGGAAACGAGUGAUCCCACUCAGUGUUCGGGGUGGGGCUGAUUCCGCAACACCAGUAAUGGCAUUCCGUGUCCGGGGUGCGGCUUGAGUCCGGAAUACAAGUGAUGGAAUUCAGUGUCCGGGGUGUCACUCAGUCUGGGACGCAAGUGAUGGCAUUCAGUAUCCCUGGUGGGGCUCACUCUGAGACACCAGUAAUGCCAUUGAGUGAAACGGGAGGGGAAUUAGCCGAGUUAGGAACCUUCCUGGACACGUUGCUGAGGGGGUAGCGGAGGAAUGUUUCCUCCAUUCAGCAGCCUGUGUAUGUAGUAGUGAUAAUUUGUAAAAUACCUCAGUAGAUAACCCUAGACCUGCAGCGUUCUCGGACACGGCCCUGAAGUGUGAUUUAUAAUCAUUGUGCUGUUAAUUUGAGUGAAGACAGAGAGCAUCCGGCAACUCCUUCUGGUGCGGAAUGACGCUGAUAAAAGGGGCUAUUUGUUCAACCUGCCGCUCAGUGUCGCUUGUCCAUUCAUUGUGCGCGAAGGGCACGGAAUUGUAAGCAGCUUAUUUUACCUGCACGUCAGAAAGUUACUCAGUGUUAAAUUUAUAAUCGCCAAA
Molecule: long non-coding RNA, 4115 nt
Organism: Pristis pectinata (smalltooth sawfish)
Lineage: Eukaryota; Metazoa; Chordata; Chondrichthyes; Rhinopristiformes; Pristidae
Exons: 11
Source: RefSeq, a predicted model, not a curated record